This 772-nucleotide long non-coding RNA is filed under the name Bactrocera tryoni. Its description in RNAcentral is "uncharacterized LOC120777591, transcript variant X2". The record is from RNAcentral. Lineage: Eukaryota; Metazoa; Arthropoda; Insecta; Diptera; Tephritidae.
UCUAGUUCACCAUGUGUUAAACUACUUAAGCGAUUGUUUAUGUUUAUGUGGCGAAAUUAAAAACAUUCUUUCAUUACGAAUUUUACAGCACAAAUAUAACGAAAUCUAAAUCCGAAAAGCACAAUAUUAAUUUCGCAGAAUAUAUUAUAAUGCAUAUAAGAGCAUUAUUUAUUACUUACACACAAACAUAUGCAAAUACAUCUGCAUUAAUAGACGACAAGUAUCAGAUAAUUCUGGGCGUGAAUCGGCUUAGUAAUAUCACGAACAACAAAGGCAUUCCGGAAAGUGAAGAUAUGGUCUACUCCGAAUAUUUGACAGUUUUACCUGAUAUAAAAAUCUUAUUGCGCCUAGUUAAUUCUUCAUGAUUUUUCAUUUAACAACGAUAAUUUAGAUUACUCAUUAUAAAAAGGACCGUUUUGCAGUAAGUACCUCAAAUAAUUAAAGCUAAACUCUGUAAAAAGUUAGAUAAACAGUAUCCAUUUUCCGUUUGGCGCGGAGUAACAGAAUCACAAUGUAUCAGCUAACAACUUAAAUAUUUUAUGCGUUUUCAUUAUUCGCUCCCCGGUAUCGUGCUUCGAAAAUCAUUUCAUCCAAAAACUGAUUUCAACCACACAGGAUCAAUUUUCUAUUGUUGGCCAAGAAAUAUAAAUAGCAAUCUUCGUAUACAUACACAUAUAUGAGUUAUAAAGCAUGCACCCACCUCGAUUUUACGUCCCUCAACCACAGUGCCGUGAAGACGUUCGCGAGCUCGUUCAGCGUCGUUGCUAUUUGC